RNAcentral lists this ribosomal RNA (411 nucleotides) under Vipio sp. RNAcentral describes it as "partial 16S ribosomal RNA". Lineage: Eukaryota; Metazoa; Arthropoda; Insecta; Hymenoptera; Braconidae. The record is from RNAcentral.
GUCUUUAAGAAAUUAAUUUAAAGUCAAAUCUGCCCAAUGAAUAUUUUUAAAUGGCUGCAGAAUCCUUACUGUACAAAGGUAGCAUAAUAAUUUGUUUUUUAAUUAAAAACUUGAAUGAAAGAUUAAAUGAAAUAUAAACUGUUUCAAUUAAAUUUUAUAUUAAAUUUUUUAUUUAAGUAAAAAAACUUAAAUAAAAUUUAAAGACGACAAGACCCUAUAGAAUUUUAUUUAUAAUAAUUAAAAUUAAAUAUUAUAAAUUUUAUUGGGGUAAUAAAAAAAUUAAAUUAAUUUUUUUUUAAAAAAACAUUAAUUAAUGAAUAAAAAAUCUUAAUUUUUAAAUUAAAAAAAUUAAUUACCUUAGGGAUAACAGCAUAAUUUUUUUUAAAAGAUCUUAUUAAUAAAAAAGAUUAU